Molecule: ribosomal RNA, 228 nt
Filed under: uncultured bacterium
Lineage: Bacteria
Description: partial 16S ribosomal RNA
Rfam family: Bacterial small subunit ribosomal RNA
Source: RNAcentral
UGCGUAGGCGGAAUUUUAAGUCAGUGGUGAAAUCCUGCAGCUCAACUGUAGAACUGCCAUUGAUACUGAUCUUCUUGAAUUUAGUUGAGGUGGGCGGAACGUGUAAUGUAGCGGUGAAAUGCUUAGAUAUUACACAGAACACCGAUUGCGAAGGCAGCUCACUAAACUAACCUUGACGCUGAGGCACGAAAGCGUGGGUAGCGAACAGGAUUAGAACCCUGGUAGUCC